UGGGGAAUAUUGGGCAAUGGAGGAAACUCUGACCCAGCAACGCCGCGUGAAUGAUGAAGGUCUUCGGAUUGUAAAGUUCUGUGACGGGGGACGAAGAAAGUGACGGUACCCCGAUAGCAAGCUACGGCUAACUACGUGCCAGCAGCCGCGGUAAUACGUAGGUAGCAAGCGUUGUCCGGAAUGACUGGGCGUAAAGGGUGCGUAGGCGGCUUGAUAAGUUGGUAGUGAAAUUCCGAGGCUUAACUUCGGCGCUACUACCAAGACUGCCGAGCUUGAGUACGGGAGAGGUAAGUGGAAUUCCUAGUGUAGCGGUGGAAUGCGUAGAUAUUAGGAGGAACACCGGUGGCGAAAGCGACUUACUGGCCCGCAACUGACGCUGAGGCACGAAAGCGUGGGGAGCAAACAGGAUUAGAUACCCUGGUAGU
RNAcentral lists this ribosomal RNA (425 nucleotides) under uncultured bacterium. RNAcentral describes it as "bacterial SSU rRNA". It matches the Rfam family "Bacterial small subunit ribosomal RNA", at positions 355 to 794 of the family's 1533-position model. The record is from RNAcentral.